This 317-nucleotide ribosomal RNA is filed under the name Salmonella enterica. RNAcentral's name for it is "bacterial SSU rRNA". It matches the Rfam family "Bacterial small subunit ribosomal RNA", at positions 108 to 428 of the family's 1533-position model. The record is from RNAcentral. Lineage: Bacteria; Pseudomonadati; Pseudomonadota; Gammaproteobacteria; Enterobacterales; Enterobacteriaceae. RNAcentral also lists the same sequence under 1 other name.
GAGUAAUGUCUGGGAAACUGCCUGAUGGAGGGGGAUAACUACUGGAAACGGUGGCUAAUACCGCAUAACGUCGCAAGACCAAAGAGGGGGACCUUCGGGCCUCUUGCCAUCAGAUGUGCCCAGAUGGGAUUAGCUUGUUGGUGAGGUAACGGCUCACCAAGGCGACGAUCCCUAGCUGGUCUGAGAGGAUGACCAGCCACACUGGAACUGAGACACGGUCCAGACUCCUACGGGAGGCAGCAGUGGGGAAUAUUGCACAAUGGGCGCAAGCCUGAUGCAGCCAUGCCGCGUGUAUGAAGAAGGCCUUCGGGUUGUAA